GUCCCUGCCAGCAACUCUGGCCCACAGAUGUCUCCCGAUGCAGCCCCACCCUUGCUUGGUUGCUACAGUGGGCUCUGCAAAUGAUCUGCACGCCAGAGUCAUAAUCAACCUUAAGGGGAACUUCAGCGAAAGGAACCAAAGAAACCUGCAGACUCUGUAUCUUUACCCAGGGAUCGCUUCCUGGUGGUGAAUGUAAGCAGCUCUUCUGUGGCAUGGAGCAAUCACUAGGUGCAGUAACAGUACACUGCAAUGUGCAAAGAGGGAAAUGAAGACGAGCUCAUCCAAAGGAAACUACACAGGCAUUUUAGAUCAGCCCAAUGCAAUUAUCCAAGCUGGAAUCAUUCCAGGACACCAAGCCACACACUAAAGGUCAAAAGCAGAGGAGUGCAAGAGAUCUAGCCGAGCACUAGAGACCC
This 416-nucleotide long non-coding RNA is filed under the name Heterocephalus glaber (naked mole-rat). RNAcentral's name for it is "lncRNA (ENSHGLG00000049477.1)". The record is from RNAcentral. Lineage: Eukaryota; Metazoa; Chordata; Mammalia; Rodentia; Bathyergidae.